CCUACGGGAGGCUGCAGUGAGGAAUAUUGGUCAAUGGCCGGAAGCCUGAACCAGCCAAGUAGCGUGCGGGAUGAAGGCCCUACGGGUCGUAAACUGCUUUUGCACGGGGAUAACACCCUCCACUUGUGGCGGUCUGCAGGUACCGUACGAAUAAGGGCCGGCUAAUUCCGUGCCAGCAGCCGCGGUAAUACGGAAGGGCCGAGUGUUAUCCGGAUUCAUUGGGCUUAAAGGGAGCGUAGGCGGGCGUUCAAGUCAGCUGUAAAAUCGCGCGGCUCAACCGCGCCCCGCAGUUGAAACUGGACGCCUUGAGUGCACAACAGGCAGGCGGAAUGCGUGGUGUAGCGGUGAAAUGCAUAGAUAUCACGAGGAACCCCGAUUGCGAAGGCAGCCUGCCGGGGUGCGACUGACGCUGAGGCUCGAAGGUGUGGGUAUCAAACAGGAUUAGAUACCCUUGUAGUC
Molecule: ribosomal RNA, 459 nt
Filed under: uncultured bacterium
Lineage: Bacteria
Description: partial 16S ribosomal RNA
Rfam family: Bacterial small subunit ribosomal RNA
Source: RNAcentral